RNAcentral lists this long non-coding RNA (1067 nucleotides) under Chinchilla lanigera (long-tailed chinchilla). Its description in RNAcentral is "lncRNA (ENSCLAG00000023148.1)". The record is from RNAcentral. Lineage: Eukaryota; Metazoa; Chordata; Mammalia; Rodentia; Chinchillidae.
UGAGGAUCCCAUAAAACCCAGCCCUGCACAGCUGAGUAAUGAAUACACAUCAUGUUCUACACAAGAGACACUGUGGCACUUGUUCUAAACAGGAGCACCAAGUCUUCAAUCAGCCAGUCCCAGCUCUGCAACUCAUGGCCUGUGUGAUCCUGGGUUGAAGGCUCCUCAGUCACGCAAGCCUCCUCAAGACUCUUCCGAACACACGGAACGUAUCUGGCGAACAUGUGCGUCUCCAGGAGCGGACAUGUCUGGAGAGCAGAGGCAGCUGUGGAGGAGCAGACACCAACCUUCCAGUGAUUGUCCAGUGCCUUUGCUGACUAGAUGUGUCUUCCACAAAUGUAAACGUGCUAAUGCUAAAACUUUCCUGGCACAAUUGUAAAGCUGAGAUGUAUGCCUCUCAGAAGAAUAAUGGAAGAAUGUGAGGACCUGCGCCUGUCAAACUAUAGCACAAUGGGAGAUAAAAGCCUCACAUUGUAUAUUAUAUCACUGCUGUGAUAUUACAAAACUGGAGAACAAUUUUACUAUCAAUAAGAGGCAGAUUAAAAGAAUUACUGUGCAUCUUAAUAAUGUUCAAUAAAAGGAAGUAGCUGUAAUACACUGAAGUAUUACUGUAGACUAAGAUAUAUUUAAAGUGAAAAGUUGAUUUUUAUUUUUUAUUUUUUGUACCAGGAAUUGAAUUCAGUGCCUUGCACUUGCCAGGCAGGCAAUGUGCCACUGAAUUAGAUCCCUGGCCUGAAAAGUUGAUUUCUUUUGAAAAACAUUUCAGUUUUAAGUACUUACAGGCUCACGAGUCAGUGAAAGAAAAGAGUAUAGUAAAUUUCACAUACACUUCUUGUGUACCCAGCUUCCUUCACUGGUACAUUUGAAAUAUGUGCUACUAGUAUACAUGGCAGAGUUCUAUUUGUAUAAAAUGAAGAACUAAAAUGUGGUAUGCAUGUGGACCAACUCCCCAUGAUAAUUAGGUAUCACAUUAUUAUGUGUCAUAAACAUUUGUUAGUAGAUUAAAAAAUAAUAAACUCCCCAGUAAAAAAGUGAAUAUGUCAAUUUGUUAGCAGUGUGUAUCUCUG